AACCAUUCUCACCUGCGGCUAGACCUGCGGAAGGAUCAUUAAAAAGAGUGUGUACCCCUCUGUAAAAUGAGUGGGUUACCUCCCGUCCUUUGUUGACCUCUUAGGAGGUUAUUUUGAACUUUCUGCUUCGGUGGGGUUAAACCUACCGGAACACCCUCAAAUUCUUAUCAUUUAAAAAUUGUUCAGUCUGAUUUUUGUUAAUAAAAACAAAAAACUUUCAACAAUGGAUCUCAGAUCGGA
RNAcentral lists this unclassified non-coding RNA (240 nucleotides) under soil metagenome. RNAcentral's name for it is "partial contains 5.8S ribosomal RNA, internal transcribed spacer 2, and large subunit ribosomal RNA". The record is from RNAcentral.